RNA transcript from Dreissena polymorpha, 1389 nucleotides. It is a transcript of the gene named mitochondrial E3 ubiquitin protein ligase 1-like, with no coding region annotated. Lineage: Eukaryota; Metazoa; Mollusca; Bivalvia; Myida; Dreissenidae. The record is from RefSeq and is a predicted model, not a curated record. The transcript is spliced from 3 exons.
ACAUGCAACAAUGCAUAACAUGGCAAACUACAUACUUUUAUGAAAAUGAGACUCUGAAUAAACAUUUUCCGGGAAAACAUUUCAAAACAUUUUUACUCGUAAUGAUUACAACGUGCAUUUAUCCUGGGCUGAACAUAAAUAUUUAUUGAUAAAGACGUUUCAAACGAUUUAAUAAUUGUUAGCUUAGGACGAGUAACACAAUAAUGUUUAAUCAUAUAUGACAAAUGAAGAUCUGAUUAAACUGGCAUGUAUACAAAUCACUUCAACUUCUUUAAAUGACAAUAAUACAACAAUGAUCGAGUAACAUAGGCCAAGCACACUAAAAAUAGAUACACGCAAUUAUGUCGGAAUAAAGGUUGAAUCAUCACAAAGGACAUGUCUGGGAAUUAUUCACAUCAAGUGUACUGCAACGUGUCUUUGAACACAGACAAUUAAAGUAUGGUAGCGGAUGGAAAGAAAUCAACAACCACCUUUUCAGGGCCCCAGGAAACCUUCCCGCCUUAUCAUCCUCACUGGUGUGCCUCACGUGCAAGCAGAGACCGAGCAUCAUGUUACUGCUACCUUGCAGCCACCUGGCGGUUUGUGACCAGUGUGCACGGACCACCGAGACAUGUCCGCGAUGUACCCGGCCAGUCAUGUGCAUCAUUCGAACGUUUAUACUUUGACAGGUGUUUUAUUGCUCCUGAUAAGGAAACCAUUAAUGUAUAUGCAUUGCCCUGAAAUGAAUAUAUCUAGAACAAUAUGCCUUUUAUUAACUGCGUACACAACUCGUAUUUCUCUUAGCCUCGAGUGCCUAAAGGUCCUAACACCAAAAGUUAAAUUCCCAAUAAUUAAUCCCACCCAUUUAUUCCUGAUAAAAAAAUGUAUAACAUUAAAACAUUAACUUAAUAUAUCAGUUCAAUAUUGUGUAUUUUAUUAUUAUUAAUACAAGUAAUGUAUACUUAGACAGCAAGCACAUACCAGGGUGGAUGAUAUUGCUUAUAAUGUAUAUACAAUAUAUUAAAUGACAUCCAAUGCGCAUAUAGUUGAGUGUUUAUCUAUUUCUGUAUAUUGAGACACUCGAACUUAUGCUAACAUUCUGAUAUGCAUAUAUUCUUUUCGAAUAUUGUCUUGUUCCUUCUAAGCGAACUAUAUUUAACGGGGUACAUUAUGUCAUCAAUAUCUUGUACACUGUUUGCCAUAUAUGAUUCAUGUUAAUUAAUAUAAUGUACAAACAUAAAUAUCAGCAUAUAUACUAAACACGUAUAAGUGUAAACCUAACCUUAAGUAUAAAUGACCUAAUUCAGUAUAAUCACCCUAUGUAUCAUUGAACAAGUCGGCGUUUAUGUUUACCGUAUCAUAUAUGUAAUAUGAGAAGAUUUACUGCAUUGAUAUGAACAAAGAGUAGGA